This is an RNA transcript of Ctenopharyngodon idella (grass carp), 3217 nucleotides long. It is a transcript of the gene named chemokine-like protein TAFA-1, with no coding region annotated. Lineage: Eukaryota; Metazoa; Chordata; Actinopteri; Cypriniformes; Xenocyprididae. The transcript is spliced from 6 exons. The record is from RefSeq and is a predicted model, not a curated record.
ACACAAGCACGCCUGCACUCACACAUGCGUGUGCACACCAAUCAGUACACUGGGAAGAGGAGAGACUCGUACUGAGUGGCUUUCAAUGGGAGAGAAGAGCUGAGAAGAGAGAGGGACGGAGCGAGCGAGCGCACGAGAGAGAGAGCGAGAGAGAGAGAGAGAGAAGUGUCGUCGCAUGUGCAGGACCAAAAAGUGAAGAGGCAAAUUAGCUUGUUAUCCCCCAAAGAAGCUUCACCUUCAGAAAGAAGCGUGAGGAGGCUGAGAAACAGGAGGAAUACGUUGCUUCUCUGGUGAUUUAAAGGUGACAUGACAAGCCGCUCGUCCCUCAAAUCCCAGCUAGUUUCUGACAGCGUUUCACAGCUGUGACGGGAGUUUCUGCUGUCGGGUGCCUGACUGUGUUCGGUGGAUUGCAUCCAGGAGGACUUACAACAGAAGAGGGGAUCAAGGGCAGGAGCGGGAACAAAAGUCUCCUCAUCCCCCCGCCCCCCCCUCUGACCCGUAGAUCCGAGCAGGAACUUUUGCUGGGAAGCUCUUUCCCGUGAGCAUGGAUGGAUUUAUGACUAUGUGCUGAGGAUAUUGGAUGAACAUUGACGGCAGGUUUCUUUAACGUUCUCCUGACGGUAUCUCACAGCCGGUGCUCCUGCCAUGUCCUGGCUCCUGUGUCUGUGGAUAAGUGUUAGCUGCUUAUUGCUGUGCCACGCCACUUUGUACGAAACCAUCCAGCAGCAUCAUGUGACCCGUCCGGGCCGCAACGCCAUACAGAUACUGGAGGGAGGAACAUGUGAGGUCAUUGCAGCGCACCGAUGUUGCAACAAGAACCGCAUUGAGGAACGUUCCCAGACGGUCAAGUGCUCAUGUUUACCAGGAAAAGUGGCCGGCACAACACGGAACAAACCUUCCUGUGUAGACGCCUCCAUCGUGAUUGGGAAGUGGUGGUGUGAGAUGGAGCCGUGUCUGGAGGGAGAGGAGUGUAAGACACUACCAGACAACUCCGGCUGGAUGUGUUCCUCUGGGAACAAGAUCAAGACCACGAGGAACACCCAGCCGUAUUCAACUUUUUAGCUCUGAGGGCCACCAAAACUGGCUCACCAGAAGCUCAGCGGCGUCCUUCUCCUCAUCAAGAGAGGGAUCCCUCCUUGCCUGUAGCUCCAGACAAGGCAGGCCUCUUUUGAGGAAGGCACACAGUGAGAGAGGCUGAAAGACACCCUCACCCCUACCUGUUCCUAAUGGCUAUAUCAUUCAGUUCCUUUAUAUACAAACAAAAUCAAUACGUAAACAAGAAGACGAGGUUUAUCCCCCAGUUUAUGUUUACCUUCAUCUGCCUCAUUUGAGAGGAGAGAUGGGCUCAGUCUGUAGCUACUGUACAGCAAGGAGCCAUUCACUCCAGGCUGGAUGAAUCGCCUCAGCACUGGCCCCUAAUACCAGCUGGUCUCGAACGUCAGAGGCCAGCAAAAUUUGGCAUAAGCAUCAAUGUCUCAUUAGUAUUCAUAGGAAUCCAUACAUGCAUUUUUGUAUGUUUGAAUGGACACCGAAGUUUACAAUAUGGACGUACUGACAGCAUCUAAAAUGUAUUUACUUAUGCACAGAUUUAGAAACAUAAAAAUUGAAUUUAUUUAUAUUACAUUUACAUUAUAAAUAUAUAUGUGUAGUUGAAUUUUACAAUUAUCAUCUUAGAGUUUAGGCUUGUAUAAAGUGAUGAAAUACUUUGAAACAGGUAGGGCUGCCCCCGACUAAAAAUUUAGCAAGUUCAUUUAAGCGAUUAGUCGACUAAUCGCGGGAUUAUAUUAAUGUAAUUAUUUAAAUAUAUAAUGAGGAGAAUACUAUUAAUGUAUUUUGGCAUAAUAUAGCUUAUUCCAUGCUCAAACACACGCAUAAAGCUUGCCGCAAAGCACCGCCAAAAGUAAUGAUUAUGAAUGUGUCGGCAAAAGAAUAGCAAGGAGACAUUUUAAUUAUUUAUUAAUAACCUAGUGUUUUCUGAAUCAGUGUCGGCUGCAAAGAUGAAGUUGGCGAUGAUGCCUCACCAUCUCCGCAAUAUAGUGAACACGCCUAUAGAGAGAGAUGUACCUUACAUACGGAUUACAUAAACAGAGAGUAUUUCUUUUCUAUUUGAAUUGGUUCGUUUAAAAGUAGAAAUUUCGAGCUUUCUAUGGAUAUGUUUCUCAUGUCUGUGAGGCAAGUAGCGUUUCCGCUGAGUUUCAGUUCAUUUUUGUGAUGUGCUCCAGUUCAGGGAAGCCGAGAUGGCAGAAAUCACAUCCUGUUUGUUUUCUUUAUUUUACAAAGGCACAAUGUUUUAUUUUGGUAUUGUGAGUUUACACAAAUAAAAGUAGACCCUUUACAGUUUCUAAUGAUGUUUUACUCUUAUCUCUUUUGGUCAUACUCUGUAUGACCAAAAAUGACAGAGUAUUUUAAAGCCUCCAUGCCUUGCAGUAAGCGUUCUAUACUUCAGCUACCACACUCUGCACAAACACUUGGAUAUGCAUCUAAUAAUAGCGCACAUUUAUCUCGGUUAAAGUUAGAGCAAACAGCCGUGUAAAGUUGCUGCUACUUACAUGUUUCAAAUGAUAAACGAACGUUUGGAAUUCCUGCCCGUCACACUGUAAUUACCACAAGUAACUGCCAUUGACGAUCUUGUCCGUCACGGACUGUUUUUUUUUUCUUUUCUGAGACUAAUACAUUUUUUGGUCGACUAAACCUCAUCUAGUCGACUAAUGAUUAGUCGACUAUUAGGGGGCAGCCCUAGAAACGAGUUGAAUAUGGCAGCAGAAAUCACAAAGCAAGUUCUUCAGAUAAAUGUGUUAAAGGAUUAGUUCACUUUAAAAUGAAAAUUACCCCAAGCUUUACUCACUCUCAAGCCAUCCUAGGUGUAUAUAAUUUCUUCUUUCAGAUGAAGACAAUCGGAGUUAUAUUAAUAAAUAUCCUGAUGCAUCUAAGCUUUAUAAUGGUAGUAAACGGGUCCAACGAGUAUGAAGCUCAAGAAAGUGCAUCCAUCCAAAGCAAAACGUACUCCACACGCCUCCGGGGGUUUAAUAAUAAGGCCUUCUGAAGCGAAGCAAUGCAUUUGUAUAAGAAAAAUAUCCAUAUUUAAUGAGUUAUAAAGUAAAAUAUCUAGCUUCCGCCAUACCGCCUUCCGUAUUCAAUUUACGAAGAAAGUGUAAUGCCUCUUUAUACUCUUUAGGUUUAUACUCGUUGGACCCGUUCACUGCCAUUAUAAAGCUUA